This 225-nucleotide ribosomal RNA is filed under the name Chloropicon mariensis. RNAcentral describes it as "partial Bacterial small subunit ribosomal RNA". It matches the Rfam family "Bacterial small subunit ribosomal RNA", at positions 23 to 274 of the family's 1533-position model. The record is from RNAcentral. Lineage: Eukaryota; Viridiplantae; Chlorophyta; Chloropicophyceae; Chloropicales; Chloropicaceae.
CUCAGAGCGAACGCUGGCGGAAUGCUUAACACAUGCAAGUCGCACGCCCCGGCAACGGGGAGUGGCGGACGGGUGAGAAACGCGUAGGAAUGUGUCUCGAGGUGGGGGACAACCCCGGGAAACUGGGGCUAAUACCGCAUGGGGGCCGAGGCCCAAAGCCGAAAGGCGCCUUGAGAGCAGCCUGCGUCCGAUUAGCUUGUUGGCGGGGUAACGGCCCACCAAGGC